Molecule: long non-coding RNA, 192 nt
Organism: Oreochromis aureus
Lineage: Eukaryota; Metazoa; Chordata; Actinopteri; Cichliformes; Cichlidae
Exons: 4
Source: RefSeq, a predicted model, not a curated record
GUUGUUUUGGCGCCAAGCUGCUGUUUCUUUGAGAGAUCCUGCCUUUACCUGCUCCCUCCUAUACUGAUGUGGUGUAUGUGGUACUGCUGAGCUUGUAUGUGAUCUGAACCAUUGUAAAGGUUGCAGUUCAAGGGCCUGAGGUGGAAGCAGAAUUUGUGAGGAUUACUACUGCUCCACUUGUUCCAAGGCUUU